Molecule: ribosomal RNA, 468 nt
Filed under: uncultured bacterium
Lineage: Bacteria
Description: partial 16S ribosomal RNA
Rfam family: Bacterial small subunit ribosomal RNA
Source: RNAcentral
GACGAACGCUGGCGGCGUGCUUAACACAUGCAAGUCGAACGGAAAGGCCCUGCUUUUGUGGGGUGCUCGAGUGGCGAACGGGUGAGUAACACGUGAGUAACCUGCCCUGGGCUUUGUGAUAACUUCAGGAAACUGGGGCUAAUACCGGAUAGGAGCUCCUGCUGCAUGGUGGGGGUUGGAAAGUUUCGGCGGUUGGGGAUGGACCCGGGGCUUAUCAGCUUGUUGGGCGGGUAGUUGCUUACCAAGGCUUUGACGGAUAGUCGGCCUGGGAGGGUGAACGGCCACAUGGGGACUGAGAUACGGCCCAGACUCGUACGGGAGGCAGCAGUGGGGAAUAUUGCACAAUGGGCGGAAGCCUGAUGAAGCAACGCCGCGUGCGGGAUGAAGGCCUUCGGGUUGUAAACCGCUUUCGCCUGUGACGAUGCGUGAGUGACGGUAAUGGGUAAAGAAGCACCGGCUAACUACGUG